Molecule: ribosomal RNA, 450 nt
Filed under: uncultured bacterium
Lineage: Bacteria
Description: partial 16S ribosomal RNA
Rfam family: Bacterial small subunit ribosomal RNA
Source: RNAcentral
GUGGGGAAUAUUGGACAAUGGGCGAAAGCCUGAUCCAGCCAUGCCGCGUGUGUGAAGAAGGUCUUCGGAUUGUAAAGCACUUUAAGUUGGGAGGAAGGGCAGUAAGUUAAUACCUUGCUGUUUUGACGUUACCGACAGAAUAAGCACCGGCUAACUUCGUGCCAGCAGCCGCGGUAAUACGAAGGGUGCAAGCGUUAAUCGGAAUUACUGGGCGUAAAGCGCGCGUAGGUGGUUUUGUAAGUUGGAGGUGAAAUCACCGGGCUCAACCUGGGAACUGCCUCCAAAACUGCAUGACUAGAGUACGGUAGAGGGUAGUGGAAUUUCCUGUGUAGCGGUGAAAUGCGUAGAUAUAGGAAGGAACACCAGUGGCGAAGGCGACUACCUGGACUGAUACUGACACUGAGGUGCGAAAGCGUGGGGAGCAAACAGGAUUAGAAACCCUAGUAGUCC